GAUGAACGCUAGCUACAGGCUUAACACAUGCAAGUCGAGGGGCAGCAUUAUCGAAGCUUGCUUUGAUAGAUGGCGACUGGCGCACGGGUGAGUAACGCGUAUCCAACCUUCCCCAUAGUCAGGAAUAGCCCGGCGAAAGUCGAAUUAAUGCCUGAUGUUUUCCACGGACGGCAUCUGAUGUGGAACAAAGAUUCAUCGCUAUGGGAUGGGGAUGCGUCUGAUUAGCUUGUUGGCGGGGUAACGGCCCACCAAGGCGACGAUCAGUAGGGGUUCUGAGAGGAAGGUCCCCCACAUUGGAACUGAGACACGGUCCAAAACUCCUACGGGAGGCAGCAGUGAGGAAUAUUGGUCAAUGGGCGAGAGCCUGAACCAGCCAAGUAGCGUGCAGGGACGACGGCCCCUACGGGUUGUAAACUGCUUUUAUAGGGGGAUAAAAGUGUGCCACGUGUGGCAUAUUGCAGGUACCCUAUGAAUAAGGACCGGCUAAUUCCGUGCCAG
RNAcentral lists this ribosomal RNA (498 nucleotides) under uncultured bacterium. RNAcentral describes it as "bacterial SSU rRNA". It matches the Rfam family "Bacterial small subunit ribosomal RNA", at positions 28 to 511 of the family's 1533-position model. The record is from RNAcentral.